UUUCCAGUCAAUUUUAAAGCAUUCAAUUAAUUUUCUCACAAUAGUCUCUACACCGGAAACUAUUGUGUAAUUUUUACUGGAUCUAACCUUACGUUAGAUCAUAGUAUUUUAUUCCUUCGUUUUUAUUUUCUUGUCCGAUCGAAGAUUGUAAGAACAAAUCCAACCGGUUUGUGGUGGAGAGUUCAAGCAUCGAAGCUAGGAAUAAUCAAGACUUCUAUUAAUUUUAC
RNAcentral lists this long non-coding RNA (227 nucleotides) under Lathyrus oleraceus (garden pea). Its description in RNAcentral is "Pisum sativum (pea) long non-coding RNA (PSAT_LNC028294)". Lineage: Eukaryota; Viridiplantae; Streptophyta; Magnoliopsida; Fabales; Fabaceae. The record is from RNAcentral.